Molecule: ribosomal RNA, 330 nt
Filed under: Triticum aestivum (bread wheat)
Lineage: Eukaryota; Viridiplantae; Streptophyta; Magnoliopsida; Poales; Poaceae
Description: partial small subunit ribosomal RNA
Source: RNAcentral
AUGAAGAAUCUGAAACCCGAAUGGCCCAACGAUCUUUCAUAUUUUUUUCCAGUAGUAAUUCUAGGUACUAUUGCCUAUAAUGUAGGUUUAGUGGUUCUCGAGCCAUCAAUGAUUGGUGAACCGGCAGAUCCGUUUGCAACUCCUCUGGAAAUAUUACACGAGUGGUACUUCUUUCCCAUGUUUCAAAUACUCCGUACACUACACAAUAAGUUAUUGGGCGUUCUCUUAAUGGUUUCUGUGCCAACAGGAUUAUUGACCGUACCUUUUCUAGAAAAUGUCAAUAAAUUUCAAAAUCCAUUUCGCCGCCCAGUAGUUAUGACCUUUUUCUAA